UCGGGUGUGGUGUACGGCGCACGCUCCUUUCUCCUGCAUCUCUAAAAAUGGGUUGAAGGGGAGACCCGGGUUCGAUUCCCGGCGCCCGAA
This is a non-coding RNA of Mycena leptocephala, 90 nucleotides long. The record is from the annotation of a GenBank genome assembly. NCBI's taxonomy places the organism in Eukaryota, Fungi, Basidiomycota, Agaricomycetes, Agaricales, Mycenaceae.